This 253-nucleotide ribosomal RNA is filed under the name uncultured bacterium. RNAcentral's name for it is "partial 16S ribosomal RNA". It matches the Rfam family "Bacterial small subunit ribosomal RNA", at positions 524 to 776 of the family's 1533-position model. The record is from RNAcentral.
UACGUAGGGGGCAAGCGUUGUCCGGAUUUAUUGGGCGUAAAGAGCGUGUAGGCGGCCGUACAGGUCAGCUGUGAAAACUCGAGGCUCAACCUCGAGACGUCGGUUGAAACCGUACGGCUAGAGUCCGGAAGAGGAGAGUGGAAUUCCCGGUGUAGCGGUGAAAUGCGCAGAUAUCGGGAAGAACACCCGUGGCGAAGGCGGCUCCCUGGGACGGUACUGACGCUGAGACACGAAAGCGUGGGGAGCAAACAGG